AUGCUCACUUUGGCAGCACAUAUACUAAAAUUGGAAUGAUACAGAGAAGAUUAGCAUGGCCCCUGCGCAAGAAUGACACGUAAGGGCUGAAGAGAUAGCAUGAAGGU
Small nuclear RNA from Suncus etruscus (white-toothed pygmy shrew), 107 nucleotides. Lineage: Eukaryota; Metazoa; Chordata; Mammalia; Eulipotyphla; Soricidae. The record is from RefSeq and is a predicted model, not a curated record.